UGGGGUGUGGCCAAGUGGUAAGGCAAUAGGUUCUGGUCCUAUGAUCCUAGGUUCGAAUCCUAGCACCCCAG
This 71-nucleotide transfer RNA is filed under the name Candidatus Moraniibacteriota bacterium. RNAcentral's name for it is "tRNA-Gln". It matches the Rfam family "tRNA". Rfam says of the family: Transfer RNA (tRNA) molecules are approximately 80 nucleotides in length. The record is from RNAcentral. Lineage: Bacteria; Candidatus Moraniibacteriota.